CCGCGUGAGUGAAGAAGGGUUUCGGCUCGUAAAACUCUGUUGUUAAAGAAGAACAUAUCUGAGAGUAACUGUUCAGGUAUUGACGGUAUUUAACCAGAAAGCCACGGCUAACUACGUGCCAGCAGCCGCGGUAAUACGUACGUGGCAAGCGUUGUCCGGAUUUAUUGGGCGUAAAGCGAGCGCAGGCGGUUUUUUAAGUCUGAUGUGAAAGCCUUCGGCUCAACCGAAGAAGUGCAUCGGAAACUGGGAAACUUGAGUGCAGAAGAGGACAGUGGAACUCCAUGUGUAGCGGUGAAAUGCGUAGAUAUAUGGAAGAACACCAGUGGCGAAGGCGGCUGUCUGGUCUGUAACUGACGCUGAGGCUCGAAAGCAUGGGUAGCAAACAGGAUUAGAUACCCUGGUAGUCCAUACCGUAAACGAUGAAUGCUAAGUGUUGGAGGGUUUCCGCCCUUCAGCUGCUGCGGCUAACGCAUUAAGCAUUCCGCCUGGGGAUACCGGCCGCAGGGCUGAAACUCAAG
Molecule: ribosomal RNA, 518 nt
Filed under: uncultured Lactobacillus sp.
Lineage: Bacteria; Bacillati; Bacillota; Bacilli; Lactobacillales; Lactobacillaceae
Description: bacterial SSU rRNA
Rfam family: Bacterial small subunit ribosomal RNA
Source: RNAcentral